RNAcentral lists this ribosomal RNA (464 nucleotides) under uncultured bacterium. Its description in RNAcentral is "partial 16S ribosomal RNA". It matches the Rfam family "Bacterial small subunit ribosomal RNA", at positions 28 to 504 of the family's 1533-position model. The record is from RNAcentral.
GACGAACGCUGGCGGCGUGCUUAACACAUGCAAGUCGAACGGAAAGGCCCUGCUUUUGUGGGGUGCUCGAGUGGCGAACGGGUGAGUAACACGUGAGUAACCUGCCCUUGACUUUGGGAUAACUUCAGGAAACUGGGGCUAAUACCGGAUAGGAGCUCCUGCUGCAUGGUGGGGGUUGGAAAGUUUCGGCGGUUGGGGAUGGACUCGCGGCUUAUCAGCUCGUUGGUGGGGUAGUGGCUUACCAAGGCUUUGACGGGUAGCCGGCCUGAGAGGGUGACCGGCCACAUUGGGACUGAGAUACGGCCCAGACUCCUACGGGGGCAGCAGUGGGGAAUAUUGCACAAUGGGCGGAAGCCUGAUGCAGCAACGCCGCGUGCGGGAUGACGGCCUUCGGGUUGUAAACCGCUUUCGCCUGUGACGAAGCGUGAGUGACGGUAAUGGGUAAAGAAGCACCGGCUAACUAC